This is a non-coding RNA of Caerostris darwini, 103 nucleotides long. The record is from the annotation of a GenBank genome assembly. NCBI's taxonomy places the organism in Eukaryota, Metazoa, Arthropoda, Arachnida, Araneae, Araneidae.
GCCAUACCAUGUUGAAUAUAUUCUCAUUCGAUCACCGAAGUGAAGCAUCUUUGGGCUCAAUCAGUACAAGGGAGGGCGACCACUUGGAAUAUCGCGUGUCGUU